ACAUUGGUGGUUUAGUGGUAGAAUUCUCAUUUGCCAUGUGGGGGACCGGGGUCCGUUUCCUUGCAAAUGCA
Danionella cerebrum is the source of this 71-nucleotide non-coding RNA. NCBI's taxonomy places the organism in Eukaryota, Metazoa, Chordata, Actinopteri, Cypriniformes, Danionidae. The record is from the annotation of a GenBank genome assembly.